CUGUCGCUAAAGGGAUGGACCUGCGAUGCAUUAGCUAGUUGGUAAGGUAACGGGCUUACCAAGGCGAUGAUGCAUAGCCCGAGUUGAGAGACUGAUCGGCCACAUUGGGACUGAGACACGGCCCAAACUCCUACGGGAGGCAGCAGUAGGGAAUCUUCCACAAUGGACGAAAGUCUGAUGGAGCAACGCCGCGUGAGUGAAGAAGGUUUUCGGAUCGUAAAGCUCUGUUGUUGGUGAAGAAGGACAGGGGUAGUAACUGAUCUUUGUUUGACGGUAAUCAAUUAGAAAGUCACGGCUAACUACGUGCCAGCAGCCGCGGUAAU
This 323-nucleotide ribosomal RNA is filed under the name uncultured Lactobacillus sp. Its description in RNAcentral is "bacterial SSU rRNA". It matches the Rfam family "Bacterial small subunit ribosomal RNA", at positions 212 to 524 of the family's 1533-position model. Lineage: Bacteria; Bacillati; Bacillota; Bacilli; Lactobacillales; Lactobacillaceae. The record is from RNAcentral.